UUUUGUACCAGGGAUUGAAUCCAGGGCACUUAAGCUAUUGAGCCAAUCUGCAGCGCUUUUUUAUUUUUUAUUUUGACACAGGUUCUCGCUAAGUUGCUUAGGGCCUCACUAAAUUGCUGAGGCUGGUUUUGAAUUUGCAAUCCUCCUGAGUCACUGGGAUUACAAGCACGGGCCACCAAGCCAGGCUGAUUUUAUCUUAUUUCUUAACAUUGCCAAAUAUUUGACCAAAAUAAUCGGAAAAGUCUCAUUCCCAUUAAGUCUCCUGGCUGCUGAACACCCUGGCUGUCCUUAUUUGGGGCUUCCCUGGCCCACUCUUGGUGGCAGGCCCUUACCAGCCAACAUAUCUGCUGGUUACCUGCCCAGGCAAGUUGUUUCACUGAGGCCCUGAGAGGUUCAUUCAGGUGCAUUCCCACACACUUACCAACAGGUGGCAGCACUCUCCAAGUCUGUCACCCCAAAACCUGCAAGGCCUCUGAAAAAUAAAUUGUGGUGUCUGUCUCUCUUACUGCUGAGGAAACCAAGAAUGGUGAGGAAAUACUUCUACACCUAAGUGCAUCUUCGUGCAAAAAGUUAAGAUCUGACUCAGUUCCUAAUGCAUCUCAAUCCUUGACCUCUGGAGGCAUUUGGCAAUAUCAGUAGAUAUUUUUCAUUGUCAUCAGUUGUGAGUAGUGGGUGGUACUACUGGCAUCUGUUGGUUGGUGGCCAGGGAUGCUGCUAAAUAUUCUCCCCAGGACAGUUCCCAACAGCAAAGAAAUGUCUAGCCCAAAAGAACAAUAGUAAUGAGAUUGAGAAACACUGAUCUAAUCACAUUCUCAAGUAUCAAUGGCCACGAAGAGACAGGAGAGGGACUUCCAUUGUCUCCUUCACCUUCAUCAUUUCCCACAUUUCCCUCAGACUCAACUCAUUCCUGUUUCUGGUGACGCUUCUGAGCAGCAUAUACAAGGCCCUGUGCUGGACCCUGGAGAGACCACCAGGGACAAAGGUGAUAGUCCCUGCCUUCCUUUCCAGAGCUCAGACUUCAGGGAAAUGCAUUAUGCAUUUGCAAAUGUGUCAAGUGCAAUGUGGGGACAAAAAAGAGACUAAGAAUGAUAAUAGAGGGAACCAACUUUAACAACAAUGGUGGGGGACUGGAGGUAUAGCUCAGUGGUAGAGUGCUUGCCUAGCAUGCCUGAGGCCCUGGGCUCAAUCCCAGGGCUGAGGAAGUGGGGGGAAGGCAGUGGGAAAGGCCUCUAAAAAGUUGACAAUUGAGCCAAAGUCUGAAAAUAGAAUGGCCUCUUGAAAUAUAACAAGGGUAAUAUAACACUAAAUGCAUUUCUUUAAAUAACUCACAGUCUUUUCUCCCCUCCAACUAUAAUUGUAAUUAUAUUCUUUUGCAUAAUUAAUUGAUUUUUAGACCCAGUCCACAUAUUUCUGUAAGCAUUUUAACCAUCCUGUAUGUAUGUAUAUAGGAUGUAAUCAAGUUUUUUCUCCAAUGUAGUUGUGGAAUUUGGUGUUGAUCAAUAGUACUCAAUGUUCAUUUCUUUGACCUGAAGGCCUUCUCAUGGAGAUGGAAUGACUGCCACCUCACAAUGGGAAGGGACCCUGAGGUCAGGCCAUCUCAUCAGUGCAUGGAUUCUGGGACCCUGCCCCAUUUACCCAUUCAGAAUCUCAGAUCAGAGGACCAUUGCUUCCAAUGGGAGGAAAAAAGUAACAAAAGUAAUACAAAGUGACUUCUAAGAUAUUGGGAAGUGGGCCAGAAAAGAUAUUGGAAUCUUGCACUCUCCUGGAUCACUCACCCUGGGAGAAGCCAGUAGCCAUGUUGUAAGGACACUCAAGCAGCCGGGAAAAGGCCUGUGUUGGGAGAAACUGGGCCUUCUGCCAAUAGUAGGAUGAUCAGACAUUCCCUCGUCUAAAACAGUCCCAGUUUUCACACUAGUCCCAUGUCCCACGGCAUCUCUAAGUCACGGAAAGCAGAGAUGGGUGACUAUCCUAACAGCCAGCACCAGCUUGGCAGGCCUGUGAGGGAGCUGCCUCCAGGCCCAACCAACCUUCCUGAUGACUGCCACCUGAGGAACAGCAUGACCGCACUUCAUUCAGCUCCAUACUUACAGAAAGCAUGUGAGAUUGUAAAAGUUGGUUGUUGUUUGAAACCACUACAUUUUGGGGUGAUUUAUUAUGCAUAAGUAAUAAACUCAGGAAUCUAUAUUAUGUCAUA
Ictidomys tridecemlineatus (thirteen-lined ground squirrel) is the source of this 2194-nucleotide non-coding RNA. The record is from RefSeq and is a predicted model, not a curated record. NCBI's taxonomy places the organism in Eukaryota, Metazoa, Chordata, Mammalia, Rodentia, Sciuridae.